CCCUUAGACGUUCUGGGCCGCACGCGCGCUACACUGACCAGUGCAACAAGCAUCCGUCCUUGGCCGACAGGCUCGGGCAAUCUUUGAACGCUGGUCGUGAUGGGGAUAGACUUUUGCAAUUUUUGGUCUUCAACGAGGAAUUCCUAGUAAACGCAAGUCAUCAACUUGCAUUGAUUACGUCCCUGCCCUUUGUACACACCGCCCGUCGCACCUACCGAUUGAAUGGUCCGGUGAAGCCUCCGGAUUGGCGCGCACCUCGGUGCCGCUGAGAAGUUGGCUAAACCUUACCAUUUAGAGGAAGGUGAAGUCGUAACA
This 315-nucleotide ribosomal RNA is filed under the name uncultured eukaryote. Its description in RNAcentral is "partial 18S ribosomal RNA". It matches the Rfam family "Eukaryotic small subunit ribosomal RNA", at positions 1470 to 1796 of the family's 1831-position model. The record is from RNAcentral.